UGCGGCUCCGGGGACCGGGCAGCCGCGACGGAGGGUCCGGCGGGCUGUGGGCAGGAAGACGGCAGCCACUCUUUCCUCUAGGCCUCGCGUCCACUCUCUGAGACAUCUGGAGCGGAGUGCGGGUGCGGGCAGCCAGCUCCUCCACCCACUCCCUGGCUCUGGUCGCUCACCUCUCCUCCGGCGGGCCCUCCUACUAGUCAGUGCUGCUAGCUGCUGGCGAGUUCGUGACUGCGAAGAGGGCGCCGAUCGCAGCUAGCCACGCUUCCAGCCACCCGCUUGGCUACCGCAGGGGCAGGCGACGGGAGCGACCCUCUGCCUGCUCAGAGCUGGAUCUCCGGAAAUGGAGAACCGUGAGGUUCUCACCUGCGA
This is a long non-coding RNA of Homo sapiens (human), 369 nucleotides long. RefSeq lists it as uncharacterized. The record is from RefSeq and is a predicted model, not a curated record. The transcript has 3 exons. NCBI's taxonomy places the organism in Eukaryota, Metazoa, Chordata, Mammalia, Primates, Hominidae.